Small RNA from Brenneria goodwinii, 132 nucleotides. It matches the Rfam family "EFASI RNA". The record is from Rfam. Lineage: Bacteria; Pseudomonadati; Pseudomonadota; Gammaproteobacteria; Enterobacterales; Pectobacteriaceae.
GUGAACCGAUACCGGAGGGGGAUCAGGACGAUCCGGGGGGAUAACCCGCGCAAGCGGGCGGCUGCUCAGAGAGCACAACCGAAGCCCCGCAAUACCUCAACGGCUGCCGCCCCGGCGCUCAGGUAUCGUUCG